CUUUGAAAACCAAGGUCAUUUCCAUACCCAGAGAAGACAAGAUUCAUCUUUCCGUGAACAUCCAGCUCUGUGCAACACAGCGGUCCUACAGAGGCACCUCAGGCCCUUCCUUGAAACGCUCCAACAUCACGGCUUAGUGCCGCGAGCGCUGCCUCACUGCCUAAGUAAGGAAGAAAAGAUAAUGGAUUUCUCUCUCCUUCACAAUCCUGCAUUUCUCUGAGAGGCAAGUUCAUUCUGGUCUCCACACGUACUAAUAGUACAGGACUGCUUACAGCAAGACAUUUGUACGCACAGUAUACUUCAAAGUCAGUGGGUUCAGUGAGACUCUGCAGCAGAUCAGACUGGUAGUAGGUUCUUGCAUGACAGGCAAAAUGAAAUUUGUUUUCUACAAAACAGGCUAUUUUAGUUGCUUAAUAAAUAUUGAAUGACAAAGCA
RNAcentral lists this long non-coding RNA (435 nucleotides) under Numida meleagris (helmeted guineafowl). Its description in RNAcentral is "lncRNA (ENSNMEG00000016818.1)". Lineage: Eukaryota; Metazoa; Chordata; Aves; Galliformes; Numididae. The record is from RNAcentral.